RNAcentral lists this ribosomal RNA (253 nucleotides) under uncultured bacterium. RNAcentral's name for it is "partial 16S ribosomal RNA". It matches the Rfam family "Bacterial small subunit ribosomal RNA", at positions 524 to 776 of the family's 1533-position model. The record is from RNAcentral.
UACGGGGGGUGCGAGCGUUGUCCGGAAUCACUGGGCGUAAAGGGCGCGUAGGCGGCUCGGUAAGCGUGUGGUGAAAGCUUGGGGCUCAACCCCGGGUCGGCCAUGCGAACUGUCGAGCUGGAGCACUGUAGAGGCAGGCGGAAUUCCGGGUGUAGCGGUGGAAUGCGUAGAGAUCCGGAAGAACACCGGUGGCGAAGGCGGCCUGCUGGGCAGUAGCUGACGCUGAGGCGCGACAGCGUGGGGAGCAAACAGG